RNAcentral lists this unclassified non-coding RNA (345 nucleotides) under soil metagenome. Its description in RNAcentral is "partial contains 5.8S ribosomal RNA, internal transcribed spacer 2, and large subunit ribosomal RNA". The stretch from base 1 to 120 matches the Rfam family "5.8S ribosomal RNA", at positions 35 to 154 of the family's 154-position model. The record is from RNAcentral.
GAUGAAGAACGUAGCGAAAUGCGAUACGUAAUGUGAAUUGCAGAAUUCAGUGAAUCAUCCAGUCUUUGAACGCACAUUGCGCCCUCUGGUAUUCCGGAGGGCAUGCCUGUCCGAGCGUCAUUGCUGCCCUCAAGCACGGCUUGUGUGUUGGGCCCCGCCCCCCGAUCCCGGGGGGCGGGCCCGAAAGGCAGCGGCGGCACCGCGUCCGGUCCUCGAGCGUAUGGGGCUUUGUCACCCGCUCUGUAGGCCCGGCCGGCGCCUGCCGAUCAACCAAACUUUUUUCCAGGUUGACCUCGGAUCAGGUAGGGAUACCCGCUGAACUUAAGCAUAUCAAUAAGCGGAGGA